AUGGCAAGGUCCGCCAUGUCCGGGCUAGUGCUCCUGCUGCUCUGUGCAACCUGCAGGUUGGCGCUAGGAAUCACCGAUGGGCUGCUGGCCAACGGCAACUUCGAGCGCGGGCCGCAGCCGUCGCAGCUGCGCGGGACGCAGGUGGUGGGCGCGUCGUCGAUCCCGUCGUGGCGGACGUCGGGGUUCGUGGAGUACAUCCCGUCGGGGCGGAAGCAGGGGGACAUGGUGCUGGUCGUCCCCGAGGGCGCCUACGCCGUGCGCCUGGGCAACGAGGCGUCCAUCGCGCAGCGCCUCCGCGGGGCCGUCCCCGGCGCGCGCUACAGCCUCACCUUCAGCGCGGCGAGGACGUGCGCGCAGGCGGAGCGCCUCAACGUGUCCGCGUCCGGCCAGUCCGGCGUGCUGGUCAUGCAGACCAUGUACAGCAGCAACGGCUGGGACUCCUACUCCUGGGCCUGGGACGCCACCGCCGACGAGGUCGAGGUCGUCGUCCACAACCCCGGUGUCACCGAGGACCCCGCCUGCGGCCCCCUCAUCGACUCUGUCGCCAUCAAGACCCUCACCCCGCCCCGCCGCACCAACAAGAACCUGGUGAAGAAUGGUGAUUUCGAGGAGGGGCCGUACAUCAUCCCCGGGACCAAGUGGGGGGUGCUGAUCCCGUCGCGGAUGGUGGACGAGCACUCGCCGCUGCCGGGUUGGAUGGUGGAGUCGCUCAAGGCCGUCAAGUACAUCGACAGCGACCACUUCGCGGUGCCGCGGGGGCGCCGGGCCGUGGAGCUGCUGGCGGGGAGGGAGAGCGCGAUCGCACAGGUGAUCCGCACCGUGCCGGGGAAGCAGUACGCGCUGUCCUUCAGCGUGGGCGACGCCAGCAACACGUGCCGCGGGUCGCUCAUGGUGGAGGCCUACGCCGGCAGGGAGUCCACCAAGGUGCCGUACGAGUCGGCGGGGCAGGGCGGCGCCGCCAAGCGGGCCGUGCUCCCGUUCCGCGCCACGUCGUCUCGCACGCGCGUCGUCUUCUUCAGCUCCUUCUACAAUACCAUGACUGACGACAUGAGCUCGCUCUGCGGGCCGGUGAUCGACGACGUCGCCGUCGUCAGCGUGCGCGCCCGGCCGCCAAAGCGCCCCUAG
RNAcentral lists this ribosomal RNA (1125 nucleotides) under Triticum aestivum (bread wheat). RNAcentral describes it as "partial small subunit ribosomal RNA". Lineage: Eukaryota; Viridiplantae; Streptophyta; Magnoliopsida; Poales; Poaceae. The record is from RNAcentral.